AGGGCACCACCAGGAGUGGAGCCUGCGGCUUAAUUUGACUCAACACGGGAAAACUCACCCGGCCCGGACACUGGAAGGAUUGACAGAUUGAGAGCUCUUUCUUGAUUCAGUGGGUGGUGGUGCAUGGCCGUUCUUAGUUGGUGGAGCGAUUUGUCUGGUUAAUUCCGAUAACGAACGAGACUCUAGCCUACUAAAUAGAUCGUYGGCUUACAAACGCCRAYGAGACUUCUUAGAGGGACAGGCGGYGAUUCARCCGCACGAAACAGAGCAAUAACAGGUCUGUGAUGCCCUUAGAUGUCCGGGGCCGCACGCGCGCUACACUGAAGUGAUCAGCGUGCAUUCUCAGCCUACUCUGCCAAGAGUGGGAAACCCAAUGAACCUUCUUCGUGAUUGGGAUAGGAGAUUGUAAUUAUUCUCCUUGAACGAGGAAUUCCCAGUAAGCGCGAGUCAUAAGCUCGCGUUGAUUACGUCCCUGCCCUUUGUACACACCGCCCGUCGCUACUACCGAUUGAAUGUUUU
This 519-nucleotide ribosomal RNA is filed under the name uncultured eukaryote. Its description in RNAcentral is "SSU rRNA". It matches the Rfam family "Eukaryotic small subunit ribosomal RNA", at positions 1172 to 1719 of the family's 1831-position model. The record is from RNAcentral.